RNAcentral lists this long non-coding RNA (212 nucleotides) under Nicotiana benthamiana. RNAcentral describes it as "long non-coding RNA (NBEN_LNC001653)". Lineage: Eukaryota; Viridiplantae; Streptophyta; Magnoliopsida; Solanales; Solanaceae. The record is from RNAcentral.
CUAAAUCACGGCCCAAUUACUAAACCACCCGACCCAAAUCUAUUUGUACCAACCCACCCGGAUCCCCAUUUUAAAUCAUGGUCGUUGAUCAUAAUGAUCAACGAUCCACGAUUGAUCUUACCUUAAUUAAACCCAUGACCUCCAUUUACCCUAAACCAUUUCUCUGAAUCCGUCGCCCUCGUAUUCCCUUUCACUCCCAAACACUCUCUAAC